UGGGGAAUAUUGCACAAUGGAGGGAACUCUGAUGCAGCAACGCCGCGUGCGGGAUGACGGCCUUCGGGUUGUAAACCGCUUUCAGCCAUGACGAAGCUUUUGUGACGGUAGUGGUAGAAGAAGCACCGGCUAACUACGUGCCAGCAGCCGUGGUGAUACGUAGGGUGCGAGCGUUGUCCGGAAUUAUUGGGCGUAAAGAGCUUGUAGGCGGUUUGUCGCGUCGAUAGUGUAAACACGCAGCUUAACUGUGUGCCUGCUGUCGAUACGGGCUGACUAGAGGAAGGUAGGGGAGAAUGGAAUUCCCGGUGGAGCGGUGUAAUGCGCAGAUAUCGGGAGGAACACCAGUGGCGAAGGCGGUUCUCUGGACCUUUCCUGACGCUGAGAAGCGAAAGCGUGGGUAGCAAACAGG
This 409-nucleotide ribosomal RNA is filed under the name Fusobacteriota bacterium. RNAcentral's name for it is "Fusobacteria bacterium partial 16S ribosomal RNA". It matches the Rfam family "Bacterial small subunit ribosomal RNA", at positions 355 to 776 of the family's 1533-position model. Lineage: Bacteria; Fusobacteriati; Fusobacteriota. The record is from RNAcentral.